RNAcentral lists this long non-coding RNA (520 nucleotides) under Heterocephalus glaber (naked mole-rat). Its description in RNAcentral is "lncRNA (ENSHGLG00000030256.2)". Lineage: Eukaryota; Metazoa; Chordata; Mammalia; Rodentia; Bathyergidae. The record is from RNAcentral.
GAGAAAUUUAAGCAGCAGUGAGCUGAGGCUGUGGAAGACAGGGAUCCUGACAUCUGUGAUACCUUGAAGUCUGCCUUGAAGAGGGAAGAAACAAAGACAAGAGCUUGGUGGAUAGAAUAGACAUCAGAGAUGAGAAACCAGGAGUUAUAACACUGUACAAUCCAACGUGUCUCCCAUAUGUGUGGAAGAAUGAGAAGCAAGAAAAACCAGUUUCAAUCUAUAUUGUGUCCAGUGGGCAGGGAGCAUAUUUGGCACUAGGCUUCCUGCUAGAGAUUUCAGAUAUUGCCAGGCUGAAACAGUUCAUGCCUCUGGUUGUUGGGACAUAAACAGACAACUUACCAAGAUUUCCUCCCAGAGACAAAGUGGCUUCUCUUUGGAGAAGAUGUUCUGCUCCCUGAGUGUGAUGUGGUGGAAGGGAUUGAAAUCCAAGCAUAUGGGCUGGGAAAUGGUCCACCAAGAAUUUGGGAUCCAAGGAAGGAAUAAGCUCUGCUGACAGAGUCAUCCCAUGCCAAGGACAAAA